UGGGGAAUCUUGCACAAUGGGCGCAAGCCUGAUGCAGCAACGCCGCGUGGGGGACGAAGGCUCUCGGGUUGUAAACCCCUUUCAGUAGGGACGAAAUUGACGGUACCUGCAGAAGAAGCCCCGGCCAACUACGUGCCAGCAGCCGCGGUAAUACGUAGGGGGCGAGCGUUGUCCGGAAUCAUUGGGCGUAAAGAGCUCGUAGGCGGCUGAGUAAGUCAGGUGUGAAACCCCCAGGCUCAACCUGGGGCCGCCAUCUGAUACUGCUCUAGCUUGAGUCCGGUAGGGGACCACGGAAUUCCUGGUGUAGCGGUGAAAUGCGCAGAUAUCAGGAGGAACACCGGUGGCGAAGGCGGUGGUCUGGGCCGGCACUGACGCUGAGGAGCGAAAGCGUGGGGAGCAAACAG
This 404-nucleotide ribosomal RNA is filed under the name uncultured bacterium. RNAcentral describes it as "bacterial SSU rRNA". It matches the Rfam family "Bacterial small subunit ribosomal RNA", at positions 355 to 775 of the family's 1533-position model. The record is from RNAcentral.